GGGCUACAUCCACACGUACCAGGGAUUAACUGCGAGUGAAAGGUUGAAGAAAAGUGGUGGACGGUCGAAGUGAGGCGGUCCAGAAAUCUUCAAAUGUCCAGAGUCAGAAGAGACUGAGAAGGAAGGUGAGAGGAGACAGGACAGAGGCUCUCCACCCCUGAUGAGACACCAGGACAGUGUGUGAGGAGGAGGAGGAGGAAAAGGAGCCAGCAACAGCUGAGAGAUGCAGAGGAGAACAGGGGGAGAACAAACAGCUCGCUGUAAUUGAGGGACUGGUAAAAACAUUGAAAACACUUUUCUCGAUAUUUGCUUCCUGUAUUUGCAGAAGUAUCUCCAACACAAACUGUAACAGCUGCAUACAGGGAACCACUCACUGAUGUUUAUCCUGCAGGACAGGAUCUGACAGGGAAAGAAAGAAAAAUAAGGGAACCACGGACAACUUUGAUAAUGCUUUGAUUUAUCCAGAAUAUAUUUAGUUCAAAUAUUGUCUUCAUCACAGUGGGAUUGUGCUGGUUUCAGUGGGAAAAGUAUGCAGCUCAUUUAAAUGCAAAGAGCUGUGAAAAGUUGUCCAUUCAUAAAACGUGUCAGUAUUUUAUAAGGAUGUCAUGUUUCUGUAUCACCUCUCUCCUGUUAGAGCCUCUUACCCAAAAGUCAGCCUGUUAAUGCUCUCAUAUCUUCAACAUCUUGAGUAAAUUAUACUGCACAGUUUUCUCAUCAAUAAAAGAAUAUCUACUGC
Molecule: long non-coding RNA, 736 nt
Organism: Oreochromis aureus
Lineage: Eukaryota; Metazoa; Chordata; Actinopteri; Cichliformes; Cichlidae
Source: Ensembl